RNAcentral lists this ribosomal RNA (253 nucleotides) under uncultured bacterium. Its description in RNAcentral is "partial 16S ribosomal RNA". It matches the Rfam family "Bacterial small subunit ribosomal RNA", at positions 524 to 776 of the family's 1533-position model. The record is from RNAcentral.
UACGAAGGGGGCUAGCGUUGCUCGGAAUCACUGGGCGUAAAGCGCACGUAGGCGGAUCUUUAAGUCAGGGGUGAAAUCCUGGAGCUCAACUCCAGAACUGCCUUUGAUACUGGGGAUCUCGAGUCCGGAAGAGGUGAGUGGAACUCCGAGUGUAGAGGUGAAAUUCGUAGAUAUUCGGAAGAACACCAGUGGCGAAGGCGGCUCACUGGUCCGGUACUGACGCCGAGGUGCGAAAGCGUGGGGAGCAAACAGG